This 363-nucleotide long non-coding RNA is filed under the name Medicago truncatula (barrel medic). Its description in RNAcentral is "lncRNA gene45409". The record is from RNAcentral. Lineage: Eukaryota; Viridiplantae; Streptophyta; Magnoliopsida; Fabales; Fabaceae.
AUGCAGUACAUUGAUGAUUUCAAGUGUGUGACAUACUCAAAAGAUAAACUAAGAGAAAUCCAAGAAGAAUGGUGUCAGUUCAUGCUCGACCUAAAAGUUAUAUGAUAUUUUUAUGAUAAGGUGUGGAGGAAAGUAACGAAAAUUGGAAAUGAAUGAUGAUUUGUCUGCUUGUUUUGUAUAAAAAUGUUGAGAAGAUCAAGAAGAUAGAUGAAGACUGCAUGAUACAAUAGAAGAUUUUGAUCGAAGAUUUUGAUCUUUAUGUUAACUAAUUAGUUGUGUAACUCCUAGAGAUCGAUAUCUAUGUUACCAUAUUAGAGGCCAUACAUUUCUGACUUUUAUGCUAUAUGUACAUACAUUUUUUAU